This 817-nucleotide ribosomal RNA is filed under the name uncultured Clostridia bacterium. RNAcentral's name for it is "bacterial SSU rRNA". It matches the Rfam family "Bacterial small subunit ribosomal RNA", at positions 64 to 895 of the family's 1533-position model. Lineage: Bacteria; Bacillati; Bacillota; Clostridia. The record is from RNAcentral.
GAAAUCUUGACAGAACCCUUCGGGGCGAAGAUAAGAUGGAUUAGCGGCGGACGGGUGAGUAACACGUGAGUAACCUGCCUUAGACAUUGGGAUAGCCUCGGGAAACCGGGAUUAAUACCAAAUGAAAUCACAUAUGCACAUGCAUAAAUGAUCAAAACUCCGGUGGUCUAAGAUGGACUCGCGUCCCAUUAGCUAGUUGGUGAGGUAACGGCCCACCAAGGCGACGAUGGGUAGCCGGCCUGAGAGGGUGAACGGCCACAUUGGAACUGAGAAACGGUCCAAACUCCUACGGGAGGCAGCAGUGGGGAAUAUUGCACAAUGGAGGGAACUCUGAUGCAGCGACGCCGCGUGAACGAAGAAGGCUUUCGAGUCGUAAAGUUCUUUUAUGUGGGAAGAUAAUGACGGUACCAUAAGAAAAAGCCCCGGCUAACUACGUGCCAGCAGCCGCGGUAAUACGUAGGGGGCUAGCGUUGUCCGGAAUCACUGGGCGUAAAGGGUUCGCAGGCGGAAAUGCAAGUCAGGUGUAAAAGGCAGUAGCUUAACUACUGUAAGCAUUUGAAACUGCAUAUCUUGAGAAGAGUAGAGGUAAGUGGAAUUUUUAGUGUAGCGGUGAAAUGCGUAGAUAUUAAAAAGAAUACCGGUGGCGAAGGCGACUUACUGGGCUCAUUCUGACGCUGAGGAACGAAAGCGUGGGUAGCAAACAGGAUUAGAUACCCUGGUAGUCCACGCUGUAAACGAUGAGUGCUAGGUAUCGGAAAAAUUCGGUGCCGCAGUUAACACAUUAAGCACUCCGCCUGGGGAGUACGUGCGCAAGCAU